CAGAGUUUUCUAACUCCCAAACCCUUUGUGAACUUACUAUUUUGUUGCCUCGGCGGGCCUCUGAGAUUCGUCUCACGUCCGCCGGCGGCCCAUUAAACUCUGUUACUUUUAAGCAAUCUGAGUCUUUUAUAAAAUAAAGUCA
Molecule: unclassified non-coding RNA, 142 nt
Filed under: uncultured Xylariales
Lineage: Eukaryota; Fungi; Ascomycota; Sordariomycetes; Xylariales
Description: sequence contains ITS1
Source: RNAcentral